AGAGCACACAGGCCUUCAUGGGCCAGAGUUUCUGUUAUUAAAAAUAAGAAAAGAAAAAAAACAGAGAAUGUCUCCUCUUAAUCCAGCAAUAACUCCAAGAAGAUAAUAAGUCAACAGUCACUUUUUUCAUGGCUACCUACUACAGAGUGUCCUAGUAAAAUAUAUACUUGAUACAUUAAUAUACGCUUUAAAAAGAAUAGCAGUUAGACAUUAACCAAUAUCUGUUUUGGUUAUGUUAAAGUCACAAAUGUUUAAAAUGCCCAUCGUUUCACAGUCAACCACAUAUAAGAUAUAUCUUGCUUUAUUAAGUGUAUUUAACACCUAAAAGUGCCACACACUUUCCAGGGCACACUCAUCUGAGGGAGUUUGUAGAAGAUGCAGUGCUCAUGGGGCCCUAGGUUGUUAGCUCUGAGGCUGCCAUGCUUCAUUCACCAACAUGUAUUCCCUUACAACUUGGGCCCAGCAACAACAGAUUUACUAUAUAAGCCUCCAGUACUUCCUGAAAAAGUCCUUUCCAAAUACCCUCAAAAACAAACAAACAAACAAAAACAGUCCUCUUUCUGUGUUUCAAUCAAGGCUAUAAAAGUAACCCAUGUUAAAAAGCCAGGAUGGCUGCAAUGAAUGGAGCACACAGAAGGCCUCCUGAGCAGUAUAGACUUUAUUUUUCCAUCGUGGGGCUCCUGUAAUUUUUAAAAGUCUGUUUGAAGAUAUUAAUUUGGCAGGAAUGAGGAAGAUGGAUUCAAGGGAUUAGGAACUGUAGGGAGAUGUAGCAAGUGGAUGAAGGCCUGGACAUGAAUAAUGUUCACAAGAAUGGGAAGGAGGGAAAGAUUAAAAGGGAUAUUUAGAAAGAAGAACUGACAAGCCUUGGUAACGGAGCAGAUAUAGGAGAUAAUGAGGAGAGAGGAGUUGGAGUUGGAGUUGGUGAGGAGAGAUGGAGUUGGAGUUGGAUACAGUGACAACUUCGAAGUUUCUAUCCAGAGGCUGGGAGUGUGAUGGGCCAUUGACAGAAAUGGCAAACGGAGAGCUGGUUUGCAAUGGAUCAAGAUGAGGGUUGAACUCAGAGAUUCUUAAAUCUAAAACAUCU
Molecule: long non-coding RNA, 1084 nt
Filed under: Homo sapiens (human)
Lineage: Eukaryota; Metazoa; Chordata; Mammalia; Primates; Hominidae
Description: HSALNT0301812
Source: RNAcentral